RNAcentral lists this ribosomal RNA (305 nucleotides) under uncultured bacterium. RNAcentral's name for it is "bacterial SSU rRNA". It matches the Rfam family "Bacterial small subunit ribosomal RNA", at positions 332 to 656 of the family's 1533-position model. The record is from RNAcentral.
UGGACCUACGGGGGGCAGCAGUGGGGGAUAUUGCACAAUGGGGGAAACCCUAAUGCAGCAACGCCGCGUGAAGGAAGAAGGUCUUCGGAUUGUAAACUUCUGUCUUUGGUGAAGAUAAUGACGGUAGCCAAAGAGGAAGCUCCGGCUAACUACGUGCCAGCAGCCGCGGUAAUACGUAGGGAGCAAGCGUUGUCCGGAUUUACUGGGUGUAAAGGGUGCGUAGGCGGUUCUGCAAGUCAGUUGUGAAAACUAUGGGCUUAACCCAUAGCCUGCAAUUGAAACUGUGGGACUUGAGUGAAGGAGAG